UGUCUGUAUAUAUAGUGUUGUCAUGGAAAAUUCUAGAACACUCUAUAAUGGAACAUUGUGGAAAAUCCUGGAAAGUUACAACGGAAGUUUCUGGAAUAACGUAGAAGUUUAAAUUACGCAUCGUUUAUAAGGAUCAUUCUAGAAAGUUCCAAUCAUUCUGUGAAUGUUCCAGUGAUUCCUAAACUGCACAGUUAUAAGAUUAUUUGGUAAACAACUAUCAGGCCAUACAACACAAAUUAGGCCAACAUAAAUAACAUAAUAAUUACAAUAUCAUAACAAUGUUUA
RNAcentral lists this long non-coding RNA (285 nucleotides) under Mytilus galloprovincialis (Mediterranean mussel). The record is from RNAcentral. Lineage: Eukaryota; Metazoa; Mollusca; Bivalvia; Mytilida; Mytilidae.